UAGGGAAUCUUCGGCAAUGGACGAAAGUCUGACCGAGCAACGCCGCGUGAGUGAAGAAGGUUUUCGGAUCGUAAAACUCUGUUGUUAGAGAAGAACAAGGACGUUAGUAACUGAACGUCCCCUGACGGUAUCUAACCAGAAAGCCACGGCUAACUACGUGCCAGCAGCCGCGGUAAUACGUAGGUGGCAAGCGUUGUCCGGAUUUAUUGGGCGUAAAGCGAGCGCAGGCGGUUUCUUAAGUCUGAUGUGAAAGCCCCCGGCGCAACCGGGGAGGGUCAUUGGAGUCUGGGAGACUUGAGUGCAGAAGGGGAGAGUGGAAUUCCAUGUGUAGCGGUGAAAUGCGUAGAUAUAUGGAGGAACACCAGUGGCGAAGGCGGCUCUCUGGUCUGUAACUGACGCUGAGGCUCGAAAGCGUGGUGAGCAAACAGG
RNAcentral lists this ribosomal RNA (429 nucleotides) under Gemmatimonadota bacterium. RNAcentral describes it as "Gemmatimonadetes bacterium partial 16S ribosomal RNA". It matches the Rfam family "Bacterial small subunit ribosomal RNA", at positions 355 to 776 of the family's 1533-position model. Lineage: Bacteria; Pseudomonadati; Gemmatimonadota. The record is from RNAcentral.